UGGGGAAUUUUGGACAAUGGGCGCAAGCCUGAUCCAGCAAUGCCGCGUGCAGGAAGAAGGCCUUCGGGUUGUAAACUGCUUUUUGUCAGGGAAGAAAUCUUCUGGGCUAAUACCCCGGGAGGAUGACGGUACCUGAAGAAUAAGCACCGGCUAACUACGUGCCAGCAGCCGCGGUAAUACGUAGGGUGCGAGCGUUAAUCGGAAUUACUGGGCGUAAAGCGUGCGCAGGCGGUUAUGUAAGACAGAUGUGAAAUCCCCGGGCUCAACCUGGGAACUGCAUUUUGUGACUGCAUGACUGGAGUGCGGCAGAGGGGGGAUGGAAUUCCGCGUGUAGCAGUGAAAUGCGUAGAUAUGCGGAGGAACACCGAUGGCGAAGGCAAUCCCCUGGGCCUGCACUGACGCUCAUGCACGAAAGCGUGGGGAGCAAACAGGAUUAGAUACCCUGGUAGUCCACGCCCUAAACGAUGUCAACUGGUUGUUGGACGGCUUGCUGUUCAGUAACGAAGCUAACGCGUGAAGUUGACCGCCUGGGGAGUACGGCCGCAAGGUUGAAACUCAAAUGAAUUGAC
RNAcentral lists this ribosomal RNA (569 nucleotides) under uncultured bacterium. Its description in RNAcentral is "partial 16S ribosomal RNA". It matches the Rfam family "Bacterial small subunit ribosomal RNA", at positions 355 to 914 of the family's 1533-position model. The record is from RNAcentral.